RNAcentral lists this ribosomal RNA (253 nucleotides) under uncultured bacterium. RNAcentral describes it as "partial 16S ribosomal RNA". It matches the Rfam family "Bacterial small subunit ribosomal RNA", at positions 524 to 776 of the family's 1533-position model. The record is from RNAcentral.
UACGUAGGAGACAAGCGUUGUCCGGAAUUACUGGGCGUAAAGCGUGCGUAGACGGUUAUGUAAGUCAGGUGUGAAAGCCCCGGGCUCAACCUGGGAAUGGCAUUUGAGACUGCAUAGCUAGGGUGCGGAAGAGGGAAGCGGAAUUUCCGGUGUAGCGGUGAAAUGCGCAGAUAUCAGGAGGAACACCGGUGGCGAAGGCGGAUCUCUGGGCCUGUCCUGACGCUGAGGCGCGAAAGCGUGGGGAGCGAACAGG